GAUUCCACAGGUCUUUUGCUGAUACUGGAACUUGACUUGCAGGAUGCCCCAAGGAUCUUCCCCUCUUUUCCUAUCACAAAGGAGCUGUAGACAGGUGAAUUUCUUAUAUCCAAAGGAAAUGCCCUUUUGUUGGAAGAUAUAUUGGAUGAUUGCCCAUAUCUUCUUCUACCUGGUCACUUUGGACUUUUAAUACCUAGAGUCAGGACCAGAAAACGAGAUCACUUGUUUUUUGCAGUUACUGUUGACAAAAGACAAUGAUAAGCUAGUGUGCUUGUUACUCAAUAAAGGUAAAACAGCAUUUACAGGA
This is a long non-coding RNA of Mastomys coucha (southern multimammate mouse), 307 nucleotides long. RefSeq lists it as uncharacterized. The record is from RefSeq and is a predicted model, not a curated record. Lineage: Eukaryota; Metazoa; Chordata; Mammalia; Rodentia; Muridae. The transcript is spliced from 2 exons.